Molecule: non-coding RNA, 3095 nt
Organism: Oryctolagus cuniculus (rabbit)
Lineage: Eukaryota; Metazoa; Chordata; Mammalia; Lagomorpha; Leporidae
Source: RefSeq, a predicted model, not a curated record
GGCUCGCCGCGCGGGGUAACUCGAGGUCAGACGCCGCGCUCUGCGCGCCUGCGCACCGCUCUCUGCCCACCGGGGCUAGGUCCGGCGAGCGUUUAUUUUUGUGGUUUCGGUUCCGCUCUGAACUGACGGGUGUGGGCUUUGCGGACGUGCUCCAACUUCUGGGCCGGGCGGGACUGGGCACAGUCGCAGGCCCCCUCGACUCUCCUGCGUGCGCCACGCCAUCACCUUCCUUCUUCCCCCGGCCUGUGGGCCUCAGGCUCCCACCUCUCCCACUGCUGGCCUCCGUUCAGCUCUGCCCACAUCCCCUGGAAAGGAGCGGGGCAGGGGUGGGGCGCAGAGCUCGGGGCUUGCACACGGAGCCCACGCGCGUGGGAAGGCCACGUGGGCUCAAACUUAACGCUCCCACUACUGCCAGGGGGCCGCGCCUAACGACCGGGUUUCAAACCAGAGGCAGCAUGUUUUCUGUUUGUUUCUUCUCUAACCAAGGCUGCCGCGCUCUCGGGGUUACUGCCGGGCACCGCGAGGCUGGGCGUGCGCCGGCAGCUGCGGCUUGCUCGCCUUCGGAAACCAGCCCCGCAGCAAGGCUUUGACCCUCCUGGCGAGGGAUUGUUGUGGUAUUCCGUACUUGGUUAAAAGGAAUCUGCCAAUGCCGUUUGAAAGAAAUGGAAAUAAGAGGAAGGACCUGACACACUAUAAAAUUCAAUAAAUAUGAGCUGUAAUAAUAAUUAUAAAUGGCCAUCCUCUCCCUGACCUCCAGAUAAAUAUCUCUGCACCACCCAAAAUCUCCCUACCCCCCAUAAGCCCAGUUUUGGAAAGCUCCAAGCAGAAGGCCUUACCUAGCCUGUUUUUACUUCUUCCAUAGGCAGGCUGUGUGACCUUGUGCUAUAGACUCAACUCUCUCUGCCUGGGUUUCUUUCUCAGGUUGUAUCCCUGGGAUAAAGAAUGGAAGUGGGUUGAGGGGGUCCUGCUCUCCUGUGUGGUGCUCAGAUCCCACCUGCAAGGCUGGGUUCUGGUCUGAACACCAUGUAUGAAGACAUGGACACUUCUGGGUGUUGUCCAAGAUGAGCUGCCCUUGGCUUCUCUGACCUUUGCCACCGAUGUUGGAGACUUCAGAUUCCUGAGGCUGUAGUGAAAGCUGGAGCGGAAUGUCGUCGGUUUCCUGUUUCCCACUCCCAUGAGUGAGAAUGAGUUUAAAUUUAAUUUCUAAAUUUCUAAAAAGUCAUUAAGAAGGAUCGCUUUACAUCUUUAGCAACGCCUUUGAUGGCAGAAGCAGUGGCCUGUAUGAGUUCAGGUAGGUGUUUUAAACGGUUGUGGGCUGGACAGAACUUAAUGGAUUUGUCUGCAUUGUGGAAAAAGAAGAGGACAAAGAAUUUGGGUCUCAGGCUACUGGGAAGUGAAAGCUCAAGUACAGAAGAUGCCUUGGUCUGGAUGUGUGUGUCCUCCUAAAAUUCCUGUGUUGAAACUUAAUCCCCAGUGCAGUAGUAAAUUAAGAGGUGGGGCCCUUAGAAGGAGGUUGUCGGUUGUGGGGAGCAACUUGGACUAGACUAAGUUACUGGAAUUAAGACUUAUUCUAUGCAUCUGCUCUCCCACAAUAUGGCGCUGGGAGAGGAGUAAACAGCUUCUACGCAGCUGCCUCUCGCCAACUUGAGUGAUGACCUGCAGGAGCUGAUCCUGCUCCUGAUUGGAGGAGAGCAGCGUACUUGGCGUGUGGGUAGCAGAGUUGGGAUUGGUGGAAGAGGACUAUAAAGGAGGAGAGAGACAACAUGCACCAGGAACAUCUAAGGGGAGCACUUGAGGAACAUCUGAGCAGCCCCCAAGAGAGCCGGCCGGCGGUGUGCAGCUCCCCCGCGGAAGUGGGGAAAGUGGCAGGGGGGCCCGCCCCUCCACGGAGGUGGAGGGACAGCAGCCAACCCGGGAAGAACCAGCAGCAAACCCGGGGAGGGCCGAGCAGAUAAAAGAACAGCGCAGGGUCCUGUGUUGUUCUUCCGCGAAGAGGGGGAGCGACAGUCGGUGAUGGGAUUAGUGCCCUUAGAAAGAGGCCUGGGAAACCCAUUAGCCCUUUCUGCCCUGAGGCCACACGGGAGGCACUUUGUGUGACACAGGGAGUUCACAGCUGCUCUUGCCUCGGUCUUGGACCUCACAGACCCCAGAACUGUAAGCAAUAAACUUCUGUAGUUUAUAAAUGACCUGUGCUUGGGCUCAGAGCCCAGGAUGUAGAUCUGGUCAAAGGCCUUAUAAAAAAAUGGGGAGAUCGAUGAUGGAUUUCAAAUCGAGUUGUUGUAAUGCAGACUCUCCCUUUCCUGAGAGGUUCAGUAAAGGUUGCAACACGUGUGAAUUACUUGAUUAGUUUUGUCCGUAUUAAUUAGAAUAAAUAUCUAAGAGACACCAUAUGGAGAACAGCAAAAGAAUCCCCAAACAGUAUGUCUGAAGAAGCUGGUAUUCAGAGCUUGAGCUCAUCAAGAAGUAUAAAGCACUCUUUGAGAUUCAAAGAACUUGUGUGGAGAUUGGUAGGCUUUCCAUAAUUCAUAGAAAGGGAGGUCUAAACCACUUAUCUCCAUCUCAAGAGUCAACAUCACUCCACUGACAUCUGAAUUUCAGAUAAAGAACCGAACAUAGAGCAUGUACUUUUAAAAAAAAAAGAUUUAUUUAUUUGAAAGUCGGUGUUACACAGAGAGAAGGAGAGGCAGAGAGAGAGAGGUCUUCCAUUCUCUGGUUCACUCCCCAAAUGGCUGCAAUGGCUGGAGCUGCACCAAUCCAAAGCCAGGAGCCAGGAGCUUCUUCCAGGUCUCUCACAUGAGUGCAGGGGCACAAGGACUUGGGCCAUCUUCUACUGCUUUCCCAGGCCAUAACAGAGAGCUGGAUCAGAAGUGGAGCAGCUGGGACUUGAACUGGCACCCAUAUGGGAUGCCAGCAUUGCAGGCAGCAGCUUUACCCACUAAGCCACAGCACUGGCCCCAACCUAUUUUAAAGAUGCAUCCCCUGGGUGAAGGAGCAUAUCUGGUGUGGCUUAGGAAGACCCUUCUUGGGCUGUUUGUUCCCUAAGCUGGAAAUUCUGUAGAGGAGAGAGCCACGUGUAGUAAGUGAUUGCUCUCUUG